CCUACGGGUGGCUGCAGUGGGGAAUAUUGGACAAUGGGCGAAAGCCCGAUCCAGCCAUGCCGCGUGUGUGAAGAAGGCCUUCGGGUUGUAAAGCACUUUCAGUGGGGAAGAAAGCCUUGGGGCUAAUACCCUCGAGGAAGGACAUCACCCACAGAAGAAGCACCGGCUAACUCCGUGCCAGCAGCCGCGGUAAUACGGAGGGUGCGAGCGUUAAUCGGAAUUACUGGGCGUAAAGCGCGCGUAGGCGGUCUGAUAAGCCGGUUGUGAAAGCCCCGGGCUCAACCUGGGAACGGCAUCCGGAACUGUCAGGCUAGAGUGCAGGAGAGGAAGGUAGAAUUCCCGGUGUAGCGGUGAAAUGCGUAGAGAUCGGGAGGAAUACCAGUGGCGAAGGCGGCCUUCUGGACUGACACUGACGCUGAGGUGCGAAAGCGUGGGUAGCAAACAGGAUUAGAUACCCGGGUAGUC
Molecule: ribosomal RNA, 465 nt
Filed under: Vreelandella stevensii
Lineage: Bacteria; Pseudomonadati; Pseudomonadota; Gammaproteobacteria; Oceanospirillales; Halomonadaceae
Description: partial 16S ribosomal RNA
Rfam family: Bacterial small subunit ribosomal RNA
Source: RNAcentral